CUGCUUGAGAGACGUCGAAGGCGAUUAGUGACUGCCAUCUAUCGGUGAUUUUACACACGAAAUGACGACUGGCGGAGGGACGUUGUCGCCGGCUUCCCAUAUGGUUGGAUCGGCAGUCUUUCUCUGACAACAUGGAGCGGUAUCGGAAAUGAAAAAUAGCAAGUCGCCUCGAGCAGUCUAUCAUGGAACGUGUUAAAGACGUACUCUACAAAUCGCGAAGUUUACCACCAAUUUCGUCCGACGGUAGUCCACGUGAACAAUCAAAAAGGUGUUUUUUACGUUUGGAUGGAUAUUCUUACUUAAUCGUUGCUAAUCCACCAGACAACCAAACAUCAAAUGCGGAGGAGACAUCUGAGAGCGAAACAGGACAGAAAUUAGGUAACGUUUAUCGGUUCUUUAUCAAGAAUACCUCUUGGGACGGAAGACUUAAUGCCAUGAUGAAAUAGGAAAACACACACAUACACACACAUAGUAUAUAUUAUAUAUCGAAAAAAGUGACGAAAUUUAUUGAUUAAACGAGAAAAUACUACUACUACUACUACUACUACUACUACUUCCUAUUAUUUUAUCGUGGAUUUAGCUAAGCGAAAAGAAUAAUUAGGAAUUUAUCUCGCACCCAUAGCGCAGGGUACCAUAGUGGUAAGAAGAACCAAUCCUCGACCCGGUCAAUUGCAUCGUACUUUAGCACAGGACUGCGAAAGCAUGGAAGAGAAAGUUGAAGUUCUACCACCCGUGGGCACAUUGGAAGCUUGUGAUAAAGCAG
This 763-nucleotide unclassified non-coding RNA is filed under the name Centruroides sculpturatus (bark scorpion). Its description in RNAcentral is "uncharacterized LOC111625272, transcript variant X1". The record is from RNAcentral. Lineage: Eukaryota; Metazoa; Arthropoda; Arachnida; Scorpiones; Buthidae.